This 481-nucleotide ribosomal RNA is filed under the name uncultured bacterium. Its description in RNAcentral is "partial 16S ribosomal RNA". It matches the Rfam family "Bacterial small subunit ribosomal RNA", at positions 28 to 507 of the family's 1533-position model. The record is from RNAcentral.
GACGAACGUUGGCGGCGUGCUUAAUACAUGCAAGUCCACUGAAGCAGUGGUAGCAAUCUCGCUGUGGAGGUGGCGCACGGGUGAGUAACACGUAGGUAAUCUGCCUUCAGGUCUGGCAUAACUCCGGGAAACCGGGGCUAAUAGCAGAUGAUGCAGCGGCUCGACAUCGAGACAGUUGUUAAAGCUAUGGCGCCUGAAGAUGAGCCUGCGUCUGAUUAGCUAGUUGGCGGGGUAACGGCCCACCAAGGCAACGAUCAGUAGCUGGUCUGAGAGGAUGAUCAGCCACACUGGAACUGAGACACGGUCCAGACUCCUACGGGAGGCAGCAGUAAGGAAUAUUGCUCAAUGGGAGAAAUCCUGAAGCAGCAACGCCGCGUGAGGGACGAAGGGCUUUUGCUUGUAAACCUCUGUAGUGAGAGAAAAAAAUCCCAAUCUUUGGGACAUGAUGGUAGCUCAAAAGUAAGCCCCGGCUAACUACGUG